This 164-nucleotide ribosomal RNA is filed under the name uncultured eukaryote. RNAcentral's name for it is "partial small subunit ribosomal RNA". The record is from RNAcentral.
CUUCGCGUCUUCGAGGAUCUCCGCGUACAUCGUCGCGUAGCAGCGGUCCGGCACCAUGGCGAUGCAGUCCUGGAGCUCGUCGUUGGCGUUCCACAUCCGGCCACCGUCGCGGAUGACGUUGGGCAUCGAGGCGUCGACGAUGACGUUGUUGGGGACGUGCAGGU